This is a long non-coding RNA of Gadus morhua (Atlantic cod), 612 nucleotides long. The record is from Ensembl. Lineage: Eukaryota; Metazoa; Chordata; Actinopteri; Gadiformes; Gadidae.
UGGCUGCCAAUGGUUCCAUCGUGGUCUCAAUCACACAACGCAACGAGAGAGUACACAACCGCUACAAAUGGUGCCGUGACCCGUUCUUCUCUGCCUGUCUGCUGCGUCAUUGAGGAUCGCCAUUCGACACGUGGCACGUAAGCACCGACGACGUGGCCGUGCAGCUGCCAUUGUGAGGGUUCUCAAAGAGCAUUUCCCAUGUUAAAUAUUCCACCAGAAUAAACGGCUGGCUGCCAAUGGUUCCAUCGUGGUCUCAAUCACACAACGCAACGAGAGAGUACACAACCGCUACAUAGACACAAGGUGUGCAGCUUCACCCAGCUCCGGAGUCCAAUCAGUCUGUCUGUGGCCAGAUGGGCUGCUUCAACCAAUCCAUCGACGACACCAUCUCCACACACCCCCCAACACCAAAUUGGGGCUGGGGAGAAUCCCCAACCGAUGUUUACUUUCCCACCAAUAACAACCACUAACCGACACUGAUAAAUAUAUAAAAUGAAAUACAUAAGCUGGACUCUGACCUGGGUUAACCUACCCAACAAGGGAUCAUUUCCUUUACCAUGCCUAGAAUAAAUUAAAAAAAGCCCCACUGUCCCCAACCAGCCCAGUUUGACC